GAGGUGUUGCCCGAGUGGUUAAAGGGGAUGGAUUGUAAAUCCAUUAGCUAAGCUUACGCUGGUUCAAAUCCAGCACGCCUCA
This 82-nucleotide transfer RNA is filed under the name Euglenaria anabaena. RNAcentral describes it as "tRNA-Tyr". It matches the Rfam family "tRNA". Rfam says of the family: Transfer RNA (tRNA) molecules are approximately 80 nucleotides in length. The record is from RNAcentral. Lineage: Eukaryota; Euglenozoa; Euglenophyceae; Euglenales; Euglenaceae.